Molecule: long non-coding RNA, 7566 nt
Filed under: Lathyrus oleraceus (garden pea)
Lineage: Eukaryota; Viridiplantae; Streptophyta; Magnoliopsida; Fabales; Fabaceae
Description: Pisum sativum (pea) long non-coding RNA (PSAT_LNC037506)
Source: RNAcentral
GAUUGAAUUGUGUGAAUGAUGAAAAUGUUGUUGUUAAACCCAUGAAAUUUGAUUGAAUUGUGUGAAUGAUGAAAAUGUUGUUGUUAAACCUAUGAAAUUUGAUUGAAUUGUGUGAAUGAUGAAAAUGUUGUUGUUAAACCCAUGAACUUUGAUUGUAUUGUGUGAAUGAUGAAAACGUUGAUGUUAAACCUAUGAAAUUUGGUUGAAUUGUGCGAAUGAUGAAGAAAACGUUGUUGUUAAACCUAAGAAAUUUGAUUGAAUUAUGCGAAUGAUGAAGAUGUUGUUCCUAAACCCUUGAAAUUUUAUUGAAUUGUGUGAAUGAUGAAGAUGUUGUUGUUAAACCUAUGAAAUUUGAUUGAAUUGUGUGAUGAUGAAAAUGUUGGUGUUAAACCCAUGAAAUUUGAAUGAAUUGUGUGAAUGAAGAAAACGUUGAUGUUAAACCUAUGAAAUUUGAUUGAAUCGUAUGAAUGAUGAAAAUGUUGUUAUUAAACCCAUGAAAUUUGAUUGAAUUUUGUGAAUGAUGCAAAUGUUGCUGUUAAACCCAUGAAAUUUGAUUGAUUUGUGUGAAUAAUGAAAAUGUUGUUGUAAAUUUAUGAAUUUUGAUUGAAUUGUGUGAAUGAUGAAAAUGUUGUUGUUAAACCCAUGAACUUUGAUUGAAUUNNNNNNNNNNNNNNNNNNNNNNNNNNNNNNNNNNUGUUAAACCUAUGAAAUUUGGUUCAAUUGUGUGAAUGAUGAAAAUGUUGUUGUUAAACCCAUGAACUUUGAUUGAAUUGUGUGAAUGAUGAAAACGUUGAUGUUAAACCUAUGAAAUUUGGUUGAAUUGUGCGAUUAAUGAAAAUGUUGUUGUUAAACCUAUGAAAUUUGGUUCAAUUGUGUGAAUGAUGAGAAUGUUGUUGUUAAACCCAUGAACUUUGAUUGAAUUGUGUGAAUGAUGAAAACAUUGAUGUUAAACCCAUGAAAUUUGGUUGAAUUGUGCGAAUGAUGAAAACGUUGUUAAACCUAUGAAAUUUGAUUGAAUUGUGUAAAUGAUGAAGAUGUUUUGUUAAACCUGUGCAAUUUGAUUGACUUGUGUGAUGAUGAAAAUGUAGUUGUUAAACCCAUGAAAUUUGAUUGAAUUGUGUGAAGGAUGAAAAUGUUGAUGUUAAACCUAUGAAAUUUGAUUGAAUUGUGUGAAUGAUGAAAAUGUUGAUGUUAAACCUAUGCAAUUUGAUUGAAUUUGUGAAUGAUGAAAAUGUUGUUGUUAAACCCAUGAAAUUUGAUUGAAUUGUGUGAAUGAUGAAAAUGUUGUUGUUAAACCCAUGAGAUUUGAUUGAAUUUUGUGAAUGAUGAAAAUGUUGUUGUUAAACCCAUGAAAUUUGAUUGAAUUGUGUGAUGAUGAAAAUGUUGUUGUUAAACCCAUGAACUUUGAUUGAAUUGUGUGAAUAAUGAAAAUGUUGUUGUUAAACCUAUGAUAUUUGAUUGAAUUGAGUGAAUGAUGAAAAUGUUGUUGUUAAACCCAUGAAAUUUGAUUGAAUUGUGUGAAUGAUGAAAACGUUGAUGUUAAACCUAUGAAAAUUGAAUGAAUUAUGCGUAUGAUGAAGAAAAUGUUGUUGUCAAACCUAUGAAAUUUGAUUGAAUUGUGUGAAUGAUGAAAAUGUUGUUGUUAAACCCAUGAAAUUUGAUUGAAUUUUGUGAAUGAUGAAAACGUUGUUGUUAAACCCAUGAAAUUUGAUUAAAUUGUGUGAAUAAUGAAAAUGUUGAUGUUAAACCUAUGAAAUUUGAUUCAAUUGUGUGAAUGAUGAAAAUGUUGUUGUUAAACCCAUGAAAUUUGAUUGAAUUGUGUGAAUGAUGAAAAUGUUGUUGUUAAACCCAUGAAAUUUGAUUGAAUUGUGUGAAUGAUGAAAAUGUUGUUGUUAAACCCAUGAAAUUUGAUUGAAUUGUGUGAAUGAUGAAAAUGUUGUUGUUAAACCCAUGAAAUUUGAUUGAAUUGUGUGAAUGAUGAAAAUGUUGUUGUUAAACCCAUGAAAUUUGAUUGAAUUGUGUGAAUGAUGAAAAUGUUGUUGUUAAACCCAUGAAAUUUGAUUGAAUUGUGUGAAUGAUGAAAAUGUUGUUGUUAAACCCAUGAAAUUUGAUUGAAUUGUGUGAAUGAUGAAAAUGUUGAUGUUAAACCCAUGAAAUUUGAUUGAAUUGUGUGAAUGAUGAAAAUGUUGUUGUUAAACCUACGAAAUUUGAUUGAAUUGUGCGAAUAAUGAAAAAAAUGUUGUUGUUAAACCUAUGAAAUUUGAUUGAAUUGUGUGAAUGAUGAAGAUGUUGUUGUUAAACCUAUGAAAUUUGAUUGAAUUGUGUGAAUGAUGAAAACGUUGAUGUUAAACCUACGAAAUUUGAUUGAAUUGUGCGAAUAAUGAAAAAAAUGUUGUUGUUAAACGUAUGAAAUUUGAUUGAAUUGUGUGACUGAUGAAGAUGUUGUUGUUAAACCUAUGCAAUUUGAUUGAAUUGUGUGAUGAUGAAAAUGUGGUUCUUAAACCCAUGAAAUUUGAUUGAAUUGUGUGAAUAAUGAAAAUGUUGUUGUUAAACCUAUGAAAUUUGAUUGAAUGGUGUGAAUCAUGAAAAUGUUGUUGUUAAACCCAUGAACUUUGAUUGGAUUGUGUGAACGAUGAAAACGUUAUUGUUAAACCCAUGAAAUUUGAUUGAAUUGUGUGAAUAAUGAAAAUGUUGAUGUUAAACCUAUGAAAUUUGAUUCAAUUGUAUGAAUGAUGAAAAUGUUGUUGUUAAACCCAUGAACUUUGAUUGAAUUGUGUGAAUGAUGAAAACGUUGAUGUUAAACCUAUGAAAUUUGAAUGAAUUGUGCGUAUGAUGAAGAAAAUGUUGUUGUCAAACCUAUGAAAUUUGAUUGAAUUGUGUGAAUGAUGAAAAUGUUGUUGUUAAACCCAUGAAAUUUGAUUGAAUUGUGUGAAUGAUGAAAAUGUUGUUGUUAAACCCAUGAAAUUUGAUUGAAUUGUGUGAAUGAUGAAAAUGUUGUUGUUAAACCCAUGAAAUUUGAUUGAAUUGUGUGAAUGAUGAAAAUGUUGUUGUUAAACCCAUGAAAUUUGAUUGAAUUGUGUGAAUGAUGAAAAUGUUGUUGUUAAACCCAUGAAAUUUGAUUGAAUUGUGUGAAUGAUGAAAAUGUUGUUGUUAAACCCAUGAAAUUUGAUUGAAUUGUGUGAAUGAUGAAAAUGUUGUUGUUAAACCCAUGAAAUUUGAUUGAAUUGUGUGAAUGAUGAAAAUGUUGUUGUUAAACCCAUGAAAUUUGAUUGAAUUGUGUGAAUGAUGAAAAUGUUGUUGUUAAACCCAUGAAAUUUGAUUGAAUUGUGUGAAUGAUGAAAAUGUUGUUGUUAAACCCAUGAAAUUUGAUUGAAUUGUGUGAAUGAUGAAAAUGUUGUUGUUAAACCCAUGAAAUUUGAUUGAAUUGUGUGAAUGAUGAAAAUGUUGUUGUUAAACCCAUGAAAUUUGAUUGAAUUGUGUGAAUGAUGAAAAUGUUGUUGUUAAACCCAUGAAAUUUGAUUGAAUUGUGUGAAUGAUGAAAAUGUUGUUGUUAAACCCAUGAAAUUUGAUUGAAUUGUGUGAAUGAUGAAAAUGUUGUUGUUAAACCCAUGAAAUUUGAUUGAAUUGUGUGAAUGAUGAAAAUGUUGUUGUUAAACCCAUGAAAUUUGAUUGAAUUGUGUGAAUGAUGAAAAUGUUGUUGUUAAACCCAUGAAAUUUGAUUGAAUUGUGUGAAUGAUGAAAAUGUUGUUGUUAAACCCAUGAAAUUUGAUUGAAUUGUGUGAAUGAUGAAAAUGUUGUUGUUAAACCCAUGAAAUUUGAUUGAAUUGUGUGAAUGAUGAAAAUGUUGUUGUUAAACCCAUGAAAUUUGAUUGAAUUGUGUGAAUGAUGAAAAUGUUGUUGUUAAACCCAUGAAAUUUGAUUGAAUUGUGUGAAUGAUGAAAAUGUUGUUGUUAAACCCAUGAAAUUUGAUUGAAUUGUGUGAAUGAUGAAAAUGUUGUUGUUAAACCCAUGAAAUUUGAUUGAAUUGUGUGAAUGAUGAAAAUGUUGUUGUUAAACCCAUGAAAUUUGAUUGAAUUGUGUGAAUGAUGAAAAUGUUGUUGUUAAACCCAUGAAAUUUGAUUGAAUUGUGUGAAUGAUGAAAAUGUUGUUGUUAAACCCAUGAAAUUUGAUUGAAUUGUGUGAAUGAUGAAAAUGUUGAUGUUAAACCCAUGAAAUUUGAUUGAAUUGUGUGAAUGAUGAAAUUGUUGUUGUUAAACCCAUGAAAUUUGAUUGAAUUGUGUGAAUGAUGAAAAUGUUGUUGUUAAACCCAUGAAAUUUGAUUGAAUUGUGUGAAUGAUGAAAAUGUUGUUGUUAAACCCAUGAAAUUUGAUUGAAUUGUGUGAAUGAUGAAAAUGUUGUUGUUAAACCCAUGAAAUUUGAUUGAAUUGUGUGAAUGAUGAAAAUGUUGUUGUUAAACCCAUGAAAUUUGAUUGAAUUGUGUGAAUGAUGAAAAUGUUGUUGUUAAACCCAUGAAAUUUGAUUGAAUUGUGUGAAUGAUGAAAAUGUUGUUGUUAAACCCAUGAAAUUUGAUUGAAUUGUGUGAAUGAUGAAAAUGUUGUUGUUAAACCCAUGAAAUUUGAUUGAAUUGUGUGAAUGAUGAAAAUGUUGUUGUUAAACCCAUGAAAUUUGAUUGAAUUGUGUGAAUGAUGAAAAUGUUGUUGUUAAACCCAUGAAAUUUGAUUGAAUUGUGUGAAUGAUGAAAAUGUUGUUGUUAAACCCAUGAAAUUUGAUUGAAUUGUGUGAAUGAUGAAAAUGUUGUUGUUAAACCCAUGAAAUUUGAUUGAAUUGUGUGAAUGAUGAAAAUGUUGUUGUUAAACCCAUGAAAUUUGAUUGAAUUGUGUGAAUGAUGAAAUUGUUGUUGUUAAACCCAUGAAAUUUGAUUGAAUUGUGUGAAUGAUGAAAAUGUUGUUGUUAAACCCAUGAAAUUUGAUUGAAUUGUGUGAAUGAUGAAAAUGUUGUUGUUAAACCCAUGAAAUUUGAUUGAAUUGUGUGAAUGAUGAAAAUGUUGUUGUUAAACCCAUGAAAUUUGAUUGAAUUGUGUGAAUGAUGAAAAUGUUGUUGUUAAACCCAUGAAAUUUGAUUGAAUCGUGUGAAUGAUGAAAACGUUGUUGUUAAACCCAUGAAAUUUGACUGAAUUGUGCGAAUGAUGAAGAAAAUGUUGUUGUUAUACCUAUGAAAUUUGAUGGAAUUGUGUGAAUGAUGAAAAUGUUGUUGUUAAACCCAUGAAAUUUGACUAAAUUUUGUGAAUGAUGAAAAUGUUGUUGUUAAACCCAUAAAAUUUAAUUGAAUUGUGUUAACGAUGAAAACGUUGUCGUUAAACCUAUGAAAUUUGAUUGAAUUGUGUGAAUGAUGAAAAUGUUGUUGUUAAACCCAUGAAAUUUAAUUGAAUUGUGUGAACGAUGAAAACGUUGUUGUUAAACCCAUGAAAUUUGAUUGAAGUGUGUGAAUAAUGAAAAUGUUGAUGUUAAACCUAUGAAAUUUGGUUCAAUUGUGUGAAUGAUGAAAAUGUUGUUGUUAAACCCAUGAACUUUGAUUGAAUUGUGUGAAUGAUGAAAACAUUGAUGUUAAACCUAUGAAAUUUGGUUCAAUUGUGCGAAUAAUGAAAAUGUUGUUGUUAAACUUAUGAAAUUUGGUUCAAUUGUGUGAAUGAUGAAAAUGUUGUUGUAAACCCAUGAACUUUGAUUGAAUUGUGUGAAUGAUGAAAACAUUGAUGUUAAACCCAUGAAAUUUGGUUGAAUUGUUCGAAUGAUGAAAACGUUGUUAAACCUAUGAAAUUUGAUUGAAUUGUGUGAAUGAUGAAGAUGUUUUGUUAAACCUGUAAAAUUUGAUUGAAUUGUGUGAUGAUGAAAAUGCAGUUGUUAAACCCAUGAAAUUUGAUUGAAUUGUGUGAAGGAUGAAAACGUUGAUGUUAAACCUAUGAAAUUUGAUUGAAUCGUGUGAAUGAUGAAAAUGUUGAUGUUAAAACUAUGCAAUUUGAUUGAAUUUGUGAAUGAUGAAAAUUAUGUUGUUAAACCCAUGAAAUUUGAUUGAAUUGUGUGAAUGAUGCAAAAUGUUGAUGUUAAACCUAUGAGAUUUGAUUGAAUUGUGUGAAUGAUGAAAAUGUUGUUGUUAAACCCAUGAGAUUUGAUUGAAUUGUGUGAAUGAUGAAAAUGUUGUUGUUAAACCCAUGAAAUUUGAUUGAAUUGUGUGAAUGAUGAAAAUGUUGUUGUUAAACCUAUGAGAUUUGAUUGAAUUGUGUGAAUGAUGAAAAUGUUGUUGUUAAACCCAUGAAAUUUGAUUGAAUUGUGUGAAUGAUGAAAAUGUUGUUGUUAAACCCAUGAAUAAACUAACUUAACACACUUACAUGAAAAUGUUGUUGUUAAACCCAUGAAAUUUGAUUGAAUUGUGUGAAUGAUGAAAAUGUUGUUGUUAAACCCAUGAAAUUUGAUUGAAUUGUGUGAAUGAUGAAGAUGUUGAUGUUAAACCCAUGAAAUUUGAUUGAAUUGUGUGAAUAAUGAAAACGUUGAUGUUAGUCCUAUGAAAUUUGAUUCAAUUGUGUGAAUGAUGAAAAUGUUGUUGUUAAACCCAUGAACUUUGAUUGAAUUGUGUGAAUGAUGAAAACGUUGAUGUUAAACCUAUGAAAUUUGAUUGAAUUGUGUAAUUAUGAAAAUGUUGAUGUUAAACCUAUGCAAUUUGAUUGAAUUUGUGAAUGAUGAAAAUGUAGUUGUUAAACCCAUGAAAUUUGAUUGAAUUGUGUGAAUGAUGCAAAACGUUGAUGUUAAAUCUAUGAAAGUUUAUUGAAUUGUGUGAAUGAUGAAGAAAAUGUUGUUAUUAAGCCUAUGAAAUUUGAUUGAAUUUUGUGAAUGAUGAAAACGUUGUUGUUAAACCUAGGAAAUUUGAUUGAAUUGUGUGAAUGAUGAAGAAAACGUUGUUGUUAAACCCAGGAAAUUUGAUUAAAUUGCGUGAAUGAUGAAGAAAACGUUGUUGUUAAACCCAUGAGAUUUGAUUGAAUUAUGUGAAUGAUGAAAAUGUUGUUGUUAAACCCAUGAAAUUUGAUUGAAUUGUGUGAAUGAUGAAGAAAAUGUUGUUGUUAAAACCAUGAGAUUUGAUUGAAUUGUGUGAAUCAUGAAAAUGUUGUUGUUAAACCCAUGAAAUUUGAUUGAAUUGUGUGAAUGACGAAAAUGAUGAUGUUAAACCUAUGAAAUUUGAUUGAAUUGUGUGAAUGAUGAAGAUGUUGUUGCUAAACCCAUGAGAUUUGAUUGAAUUGUGUGAAUGAUGAAAACUUUGAUGUUAAACCUAUGAGAUUUGAUUGAAUUGUGCGAAUGAUGAAAAUGUUGAUGUUAAACCUAUGAAAUUUGGUUGAAUUGUGCGAAUGAUGAAGAUGUUGUUGUUAAACCUAUGAAAUUUGAUUGAAUUGUGUGAAUGAUGAAGAAAAUGUUGAUGUUAAACCUAUGAAAUUUGAUUGAAUUUGUGAAUGAUGAAAAUGUUGUUGUUAAACCCAUGAAAUUUGAUUGAAUUGUGUGAAUGAUGAAAAUGUUGUUGUUAAAC